CCAGGAAAAAUGUGAGACGUGAGACAUCUGUGAGGCACUGUUAGGUAUGCUGCUGCUCGAAAGCAUGCAGCAUUAAUGUGCUUCUUCUUUUAUUUUGUUUUUAUUUUCUCUGCGGUUGCUGACAGUUAUGCAACCAAAGCAGUUUGCAUAAAAAUCCACAACAAUCGCCGCGAAAAAGUGGAUAUCGGGAAUAAUAAUUUUUUUUAAUCGCCGAUCGUCGUCGCGGGAGUGAUUAUGUGUUUAUUUACCAAAAUUGAAAUGUUCCGGCCAGCGAUUUAGCUCUCGGUUUUGUGCGGGUGCGGUCCGGGGGCGGUGAUCCGGGAAAGAUCAAGUGUUAAGCCAAAAGUGAAGUGGGUGAUGAUAAAUAUUUUAAAUAUGAAAUGGCGUAAUUAGAAAAAAUAUUUAAAAUUUGAAAUGGUGUAGGUAGUUGGGAAAAUUACAAGUGCAAUGGGUUGAUCAAAAAAGGAAUCUGGUCAUCGCAAAAGUUCAAUCGGCGGUAUCUUCCAAUUGUGUUCGAAGGUGGGGAGCGCUCUUCCAUCGAUACUGGAUCUGACGCAAAUGCACAACUCAGAGUUCCGCACCAAUCAUCCAGCUGGAUGAACGACCUCCAGUGGGAGAACAUGGCAGUUCCGAUGGGCGGGUCGAUGGUUGGAGCUGGCGGCGGCGCAGGUAGUCCACACGGUGCUGGUACGAUAGGUGGCAAUGGAAAUGGCAUCGGAAAAGUGACUAUGACACGUCAAGUGUCCCGAAGUGACCCGCAAUAAAUGAAUUAGUGAUUUCAGCUGGUUUGCUGCGUAUGGCCACGAAUCAGGUGCAUAUUGGAAAAAGUCGAACGGGAAGAAAUAUGUGUCCACGUUGGUUUUUUUGCCGUUGAGGAGGACCGAAUGGCACUUGAGUGGGACUACAAUCCAUUGGAGAAGGACUCAUCAUUCGCCGUAAAAGUCAAAGAAGCAAAUUACAUCCAACAAGUAAAAAGUAAGUACUAAAUCAUGUUUCUAUUUAAGUCUCUGGUGUUUUACUUGAUGCAAAACCAGGAAUAAAUUUUGUUAUUUGACUUUUGUUAAGAAUUGGUGUCGUAAGAUGACGAUUCUUAUAGAACUCCUUGGAGCAAUUCUGAGUGCUUAAUUAGAAAAUGCACUAGUAAUCUGACUUUUGUUAAGAAUUGGUGUCGUAAGAUGGCGAUUCUUAUAGAACUCCUUGGAGCAAUUCUGAGUGCUUAAUUAGGAAAUGCAUCAGUAAUCUGAUUUUUGUUAAGAAUUGGUGUCGUAAGAUGACGAUUCUUAUAGAACUCCUUGGAGCAAUUCUGAGUGCUUAAUUAGGAAAUGCAUUAGUAAUCUGAUUUUUGUUAAGAAUUGGUGUCGUAAGAUGGCGAUUCUUAGAGAACUCCUUGGAGCAAUUCUGAGUGCUUAAUUAGGAAAUGCAUUAGUAAUAUAACUUUUGUUAAGAAUUGGUGUCGUAAGAUGACGAUACUUAUGGAACUCCUUGGAGCAAUUCUGAGUGCUUAAUUAGGAAAUGCAUUAGUAAUCUGACUUUUGUUAAGAAUUGGUGUCGUAAGAUGACGAUUCUUAUGGAACUCCUUGGACCAAUUCUGAGUGCUUAAUUAGGAAAUGCAUUAGUAAUCUGACUUUUGUUAAGAAUUGGUGUCGUAAGAUGACGAUUCUUAUGGAACUCCUUGGACCAAUUCUGAGUGCUUAAUUAGGAAAUGCAUUAGUAAUCUGAUUUUUGUUAAGAAUUGGUGUCGUAAGAUGGCGAUUCUUAGAGAACUCCUUGGACCAAUUCUGAGUGCUUAAUUAGGAAAUGCAUUAGUAAUAUAACUUUUGUUAAGAAUUGGUGUCGUAAGAUGACGAUACUUAUGGAACUCCUUGGAGCAAUUCUGAGUGCUUAAUUAGGAAAUGCAUUAGUAAUCUGACUUUUGUUAAGAAUUGGUGUCGUAAGAUGACGAUUCUUAUAGAACUCCUUGGAGCAAUUCUGAGUGCUUAAUUAGAAAAAGCACUAGUAAUCUGACUUUUGUUAAGAAUUGGUGUCGUAAGAUGGCGAUUCUUAUAGAACUCCUUGGAGCAAUUCUGAGUGCUUAAUUAGGAAAUGCAUUAGUAAUCUGAUUUUUGUUAAGAAUUGGUGUCGUAAGAUGGCGAUUCUUAGAGAACUCCUUGGAGCAAUUCUGAGUGCUUAAUUAGGAAAUGCAUUAGUAAUCUGACUUUUGUUAAGAAUUGGUGUCGUAAGAUGACGAUUCUUAUAGAACUCCUUGGAGCAAUUCUGAGUGCUUAAUUGGGAAAUGCAUUAGUAAUCUGACUUUGGUUAAGAAUUGGUGUCGUAAGAUGACGAUUCUUAUGGAACUCCUUGGACCAAUUCUGAGUGCUUAAUUAGGAAAUGCAUUAGUAAUCUGAUUUUUGUUAAGAAUUGGUGUCGUAAGAUGACGAUACUUAUGGAACUCCUUGGAGCAAUUCUGAGUGCUUAAUUAGGAAAUGCAUUAGUAAUCUGAUUUUUGUUAAGAAUUGGUGUCGUAAGUGGCGAUUCUUAGAGAACUCCUUGGAGCAAUUCUGAGUGCUUAAUUAGGAAAUGCAUUAGUAAUCUGACUUUUGUUAAGAAUUGGUGUCGUAAGAUGACGAUUCUUAUAGAACUCCUUGGAGCAAUUUUGAGUGCUUAAUUAGGAAAUGCAUCAGUAAUCUGAUUUUUGUUAAGAAUUGGUGUCGUAAGAUGGCGAUUCGUAUAGAACUCCUUGGAGCAAUUCUGAGUGCUUAGUAAGAAAAUGCAUUAGUAAUCUGAUUUUGUCAAGAAUUGGUGUCGUAAGAUAGCGAUUUGUAUAGAACUCCUUGGAGCAAUUCUGAGUGCUUGAUUCGGAAUUGAUUUUCGUUAUGAUUUUCGUUAUGAAUUGGUGUCGUAAGAUGGCUAAAGUUAGGAAAUUAAAAAAAAUAAUACUUUGGGCUUCGUGGCCGUGUGGUUAGCGGCUUCAGUCAGCUAGGCGUUUCGUAAGCCUCGGAGUGUGGGUUCGAUUCCCGCUCCAGUCGGUGAAAACUUUUCGUCAAACAAAAUAUUCUCCACUGGACCACUGGGUGUUUCGUGUAUUGUCCGUUGUCUCAUAUUAGUUAUCGUUCAGUCUGUGCAAGACGUUCAGUCUGGUUGAAGACGGUGUAGAGUCUUUUUAAAUAAAAGUUAGUUUUGCCUCAUUUUUUUUAGGAAUUUUCAAUGUGUUUCUCACUUAGCUGAAAUCAUUGCUACAAAACAAUCGAUUGUCAAUAGGUCUUCCCGUAAAUUUUCUGUUUUAACAUUUUUGUGGAGUCUUGGUUGGGAAGGAUGCGGUUAUUAGGCCGAAUGGCCAUCAAGGCGAAUUGGAAUUCAGCAGUUUUGCAACUGGAAACGGAUCUGUUGUUUAUACAUGUUGUUUUCAACAAUUAUUGCUAAAAACUGUUUUAACAAUGAAACAAGAAAGAAUAGCCUAUGUUUGAAAGAAGGAAACAUUUAUUAUUUGAAAAUCAGUAGUUUCAGCGUCGCUGAUGCCUAGUGGUUAAGGCUAUGGAUCGCCAAUCCGGAGACGGCGGGUUCGAUUCCCGUUCCGGUCGGAAAAUUUUCUCGACUCCCUGGGCAUAGAGUAUCAUUGUACUUGCCUCACAAUAUACAAAUUCAUGCAAUGGCAGGCAAAGAAAGCCCUUCAAUUAAUAACUGUGGAAGUGCUCAAAGAACACUAAGUUGAAGCGAGGCAGGCCAAGUCCCAGUGCGAACGUAGAGCCAUAAAGAAGAAGAAGAAGAAGUUUCAGCGUCGAAACACUUUUAGCAAUGAUACUAUAUGUUUAUACUGAUUUUAAAGAAAUUCUUUUAGCAAUAUUUGAAUUGACACUAAUGUUAUCUGCAAAAAUUGUGCAAAGGUGAUCAAUUGGACCCCGGAUUAUGGUAUAUAUAUAUAAAUAUAUUUAUCGUAAAAUCACCAUUCUUAUGGAACUCCUUGGAGCAAUUGUAAUGUAUCUUUAAAAAAUGUUUUUCAAGUUUUACUUGUACUUAUUCUAAUAAAUUGUAAUGGCACUAUUUAACAUAUUUUCCAAAUUCGACUUUUGCUAAGAAUUGGUAUUGUAGGGUAGGGCGGGCAAGAUGAGCACCCUAAGGAUCCCGUUGAGUUUAUUGAAAGUUAACACAAUUUUUCAAAGUACCUCUCAGUAGUUCUUAUCUACCACCCAUAAAUAUGGCAGGGUUCAAAAUUCACAAUAAGGAUGAUUUAUUUGACUAAACAAAAAAGAUGUUUUAUGGUCAGUUCAAACAUGCUACGAGGCAAGAAGAGCACUUCAUUAAAAUCAAAAUAUUUUAACUAUAAAUUGGCCAUACAGUGAUGGAAAUAGUAAAUCUUGUUUAUUGCUAUGGUAUCACGUUCUGAAAUGAUCAGUUUUUUCGAUUAUUUAAAAAAUGGCGGUUUUAUAAUACUUUAUACAAAAUGACCCAAAAAGCAUUGAAUGAUUAUGAAGUGGCUUAUUUUUAAAAAAAUUAACGCUACCAAAGAGUUGCAGUGAAUACGAAAACCUAUGUUUGGCAUCAUUGAGUGGAUAACAAUAAUUUUAAAAUAUUUUCUAUAUUCUAAUCAGGGGUGUUCAUUUUGCCCCACUAUAGGGAAAUAACUAAAAUUGAAUAAAUUUUAACGUUUUUUUUAAGAAAAUAUUUCCCAAUGCAAAUUUAAAUGCUUUGCAGUAAGAUAGUAAUGUUCGCUGAUAAUAAAAAUUAUGGUAAAAAUUUGAUUCUAACAUAAGAACCUUAUUUUAUUCUUAUAAUAAAAUGCUAAAAAUCCAUGCUAUUGAAUAAUUUGACGAUAUUUUCAAUUCUUUCGUUAUGAGGUACCUUCUAUCAGGUUUACAAACAGGAUGAACUUUAUUCUAACGUAUUAUGAAGUUGUUUAGAGAAAAUUCAUCAUAAAAGUAGUAAAACAGAGGGGUGCUCAUCUUGCCCGGGUUGGCCAUCUUGCCCCGUCCUACUCUAAGAUCACGAUUCCUAUUAAACUCCUGGGAGCAAUUUCGAAUACUCUAAUUUCUUAAUAAAGUUUUUAAAAUUUAGCUUGUGUUCAACAUUUGUAUCAAUCAUAAUUCUUAUGGAACAACUUUGAGCAGUCCUGAUGGCUCUUUUGGAAACUAUGUUGCAAAUAUGCAAAACUGGUAAAGUAUCUUGUACCGACUUUUCGAACCCUCUAAGCAGAAUACCAUCUACGAAUGAGUGUAAUCAGUAUUGCACCUUUUAAUUCCGUCCUAUAUCCUUAAGACGGGCUUGGUGGUCUAGUGGCUACCGCUUCUGAUUCGUAUGCAGAAGGUCAUGGGUUCAAUCCCUGGCCCGUCCCUUUCAUCCUACUUUGUAUUUUUCUAUUCACUUUCUCUCUCUCUCUCUGGAAACGUUCAAAAAUUACGUUUGUGGGGAGCGGGGGGUUAGUCUUAGAAAGUGUGACAGUACGUGUACUAGGUAUAGGAAAAAAGCGUGACAGAGGGGGAGGGGGGGUCUAGAAAUCCCGAAAAACGAUGGACGUAAUAAAUGAAUCUUCCCAACUCAUGUAGGUAUGGUCCAUUGCACGAAUUUAUGCUGGCCUGCUUACUCUCACAGAAAAUUGCAUGUUUGAGCGGUGCCGACACCUCUUAAACGUCAAAUUUCGUGUGAGAGUGAGCAGGCCAGUAUAAAUUCGUGCAGUAAUCCAUAUUCAUAUGUUCAUAGCCAUCGCUAUAACCAGAAACGAAUUGGAAUCAUUCACCUUAUUCACCACACAAUCUAUCACCUUACGAACACUAUAAAUAACCCCCUAUUCAUCGAUCACAUCACCGACCAAACGGUGACUCCCAGAUCUCCCAUCCUUUCCGUCUAACAUAAAUCCCAGUCCGUGCUGGUUGUGGGGAUGCAGAGGUGAUCUAGGUCUUUAGUAGCAACAACAAGCACACUCUAACAUUCCUUUCCCUUCCCAACUGACUAUAAGGACGUGGCCAGCGCCGUUAUUGAUCCAAAAUGUAUGAGCUGCUUAAAUUGCAUUUUGAGAACAAGUGGAGUGUCCCAGCUCUUAUUCAUUUGGAUCUCAGUGCAAUUGGUACCAGCUCAGAUCAAUCACGGAGGAGCAACCAUUGACAUGUAUAGUCAGAUUUGAUCAUUUUGAUCGAAUCGUUAAUUCCGCCCUAUAUUACUUGUCUUUUUACAGAUGCGCGUAUUUCGAUUGCCACUUGUAAUCUUCCUCGGGAUAACUGACGCUGAGGAGGAUUACAAGUGGUAGUCGAAAUACGCGUAUCUGACAAAGGAUAAGCAAUAUAGGGCGGAAUUAAAAGGUACAAUACUGAUUACAAUCAUUGGUAAAGUAUAUUUGUAACUCUUUGGAGCAAUUCUAAUGACUCUAUUGAAAAAUAUUGUUCAAUAUUUCACUUGUGUUAACGAUUAGUAUUGUAGGCUCACAAUUCUAAUGACACUUAUUGUAACAAUUCUAUAUGCUUUACUAUAAAAUGCUUUAAAAAUUUGACUUGAGCAAUUUUUAUGUCUCUAUUUAAAAAGCUUUUAAUUUUUAUAGACUUGUACCAACGCAUAUUGCUUGAAACUGUUGGAAAACUUAUGUUGAUUACCAUGAAUUAUCUGAAAUAUUACAUAACAAUGGUUCUCAUAAUAGAAUGAUGAUUUAAUUUUAGAUUAAUAUUGAUUAUCAUUACGUUAACAUUUAUCUGCUCAAGAUAAGACAUGUUCACUAUCAGGGAGACUCUGAACAUCAACCGGAAAUUUCUUCCCACUCUGACUAAAUUCUUGGACACCGGGGAAUUUCUGAAUUUUAAAAUCUUGCUGGACACUGGUGAUUUUCCCAAUUUGAUUUAUACCUUCAAGUGAUAAUAAGCAAUUCCCUGAAUGAAUUUUAUUUAUUUAACUGGGCUGGAAAUAUCCACUUCAAAUUAACUUGAGCUCGGAAAACGACCGGUACCGCAAAUAUUUAUACAGAAUCUCGGUAAAAAAAUGACGUUUCUAGCCGAAUUUCGGUAAAACAUUUCCAGAACCUCAGAAAAUACACGAUUUUUCUUCUUCUUCUUCUUCUAUAUGGCUCUACGUUCCCACUGGAACUUGGCCUGCCUCUCUUCAACUUAGUGUUCUUUGAGCACUUCCACAGUUAUUAAUUGAAGGGCUUUCUUUGCCUGCCAUUGCAUGAAUUAGUUAUUGUGAGGCAAGCACAAUGAUACACUAUGCCCAGGGAGUCGAGAAAAUUUUCCCGACCGGAACGGGAAUCGAACCCACCGUCUCCGGAUUGGCGAUCCAAAGCCUUAACCACUAGGCUAACUGGAGACCCCAAAUACACGAUUGCUGAAAUCUAAUCGAAAAAAAUUGCUGAGUCCUCGACGGUGCCAAUUUUGGUAAAAAUGAAGAAAAUUUGCCGAGAUUCGGCGACGAAAAAUAAGUGUAUUACGAAAAGUUACACUUAUUUGAUGAAAACUCGUUAGAAACAUUUUAGUAAAAUACAUUAUCAUUAUAAUCAACAUUAUUGUAUUUUGUGAAACUAUGUCGAACGAUGUAUUAUGGUAAAAAAAACAUACAAGAAAGAUCACCCUGUUGCCCACAUAAAUUGGAAAAAGGGUGUUGAUUUAUGUGAAAAAAAAAAAUCCAUGCAUUAUUUAUUGAGCAAAUUCUGGAAAUACUAUAACAGCAGCAACCCAUUUAAUUUUGGAGAAACAAAUAAGUUAGUUUGGAGUUAGUUUGUUUGGAGAAAGGAGGUGUGCAGGUGAGUUUCAUUUUCUUUCCACUGUUCAUACUCUUAUUAAGAUUGUUUCUUUUGCAGACUUUGGUAAAAAUCAUUAUCAUCAAAUUUAAGAGGAGAAUUCCAUACAAACUGUGCUGAAAAUGUUAAAAUGAACGAUUCUCUAGUUCAUUUUUAUUGUUCCAGCAAGUUUGAACCCUGAUAACGUUAUUAUGAACAUUACGUAAGUUAAACUACAUUUGGGAUAUAUAUAAUCCAAAUUUAAAGUGUUAUUUUUUUCAUUUAGAUAUUUUUGUCCGAGCGAAUUCCUGUGGUGGAGACAUGGGUUGACCGUGGAGGCACGUGCCUGGAAUAUCCAUACGAAGGAGUUUAUCGUGAUGUGCUUAAAUAACAUUGUCGCGAAAAAUUAAUAUUGACGCAUUGAAGCAUUCUGCAUUUAGACAGCUGAAGUACGAAAACAGCAAAAUUACACUUACAAAAAUAAUGUUCGCAUUGAAAUAAAAUAAACGUAUGUUACUGUAGGCUUAACGAUUUACCUUAAUUAGUUACUAACCAUAAGUUUUCAUUGUUGGACAGGGGAUAGAAAAAAUGAUCGGAACAGGCAAAGUUUUCACUUUUCAAAAAAUGGUAAAUUAGCUGUAACUUUUCGAAAAGUUCACCUAAAAAAUCUCUAUCAAUAGUCCAAAUCUGGAAAAGAUUGGGCUAUUCCGCAUGAAAUUAGAAAGAUUCCAGUAAAAGGAAUUAUCCGAUAGUUAUUUUUGAGCUGUUAUAUUUCCGGAUUCAAUGAACCGAAGGCAAUGAAAUUUUGAGAAUUUAUGACUUAUAUGAAGAGCUUUGAAAAACUUUUGAUUUAGCUUAAAAUUGUUUAUAAGAAAAAAAAAAAGUUAUAGCGAUUUAAUUUAGUAUACGAUGUUUUAGUAAAUUUAUCUAUUUUUAACAUACAUCACACAACUUGUUUCAAUUUAUUAUCGAAUAUUUUGUUACUUUCUUUCAUAAUAUAUCUAGGGUCUUGUACCAUUUGGGCAGGUGUACCUAUUUUGGGCACUUGCCGAUAUAACUAAGUCAAUUUGAAACCGAUUGAUUUGAAUUUUUGUUCAGAGUUAUAUACUGUGCGUGCCCAAUUCUGUACAAAAAUUCAAAUCAAUCGGUUGUAAAUUGACUUAGUUAUAGCGACAAGUGCCCAAAAUAGGUACACCUGCCCAAAUGGUACAAGACCCUAUAUCAAAGUCAAUGCAUAGAAAUAUUACUGAACUUUAAUUACCAACUUGAGUUUUGGAGCGAUGUUGAAGUUUUGGCUCAUUAGGCGUUUUAUUUUAAAAAGAAUAUUAUCGCUAUAAUUUUCUUCCGUUUUAACAAUUUAAAGUUAAGUAAAAAGUUUUUGGAAUUAAAAUAUAUAAGUCAUAAACGCUCAAAAUUUCAUUACAUUCGGUUCAUUGAAUCCGGAGAUAUAAUAGCUAAAAGUUGGCUAUCGGAGAGUUAUAGCUUUUACCAGAAUUUUUCUAACUUCAAGUAGAAUAAUCCGAUCUUUCCCAUUGACCAUUGACCAACUUACAGUGAAAAUUUGAGAUUUUUCUGAUGCACUUUUCAAAAACUUACAGCUAGUUGCCCAUUUUUUGACAAGUAAAAAUUUUGCCUGUCCCGAUCAUUUUGUCUAUUCUCUUUUAUGUUUGACUUAAGUAAAAUAUUGCAAAACAACAAAAGAGUAAAAUGCUAAAUGUUUGAAUAAUGAAUUUUAUUUAAAUACAACUACCGUUAGUUUCCUUGUUUUUAUUUUUUUAUUUCUAUAUAGAAACAUAAAUAUCCUAAGCUUUAUUCUUGAGGAAAAAAAUUACAAGGUGACAGACAACGAAAUCUGGAGAUAUCAGCAAACAAAUGAAUCAAUUUUCAGAAGAUUAGGACCUGUUGUGGUUUAUGUUUUGUAAAAAAAAACAUCUUUGAAAUCCGAUUCUCGAGGUCACUGGCUGUGGAAUGGAACAAAAAUCCCAUCCAUCCUCAAUCGUGUUUUCCGCCUUCAUGCCGAUCAUCAACUUUCUUUGUAGAACUACAAGAGACAAACACAGAUAAUCAAUAACACAAAACCAAUUAAAAACAAUAAUUGCAUUAUUUUAAAUACAUCAUUAUGAAAAUAAUAAAAUUAUUUUUCUAAUAAUAAAAUAUACUCUUAUUGUCAAUGGUAUGGCAACUCAUGAAACAAUUUGUUUUUUUUGGCGAACACGUUUUUCUUUCGAAAUAAACAAUCCAGUGUAAAUAUUCAUAUAAAUAUAAAAACAGCAGUUUUUGACAGUUGGAUAAGAUCUUGGACCUCCAAUCUAGUGAGAUUGUGUUCGAUUCCCGCUUCAGUCGAAACAUUUUCUCAAUUUCUCGGGUAAUGUGUACUGUUGUGUAAAUAAGUUUUUCAAUUAAUAACUAUGAAAGUGCUUCAAACAGUUGCUAAAACAGUAAUAGAGUAGCAGUUGGAGUUCCACUGAGAACGUAAAACCAUAAAAAGAAGUUUUUGAUAAUUUGUUUGGUUGCAUAAUCCUCUCAGUAAGUCUAUGUUUAAAGCGAUUUUUUUGCAGAACUCUGGAUUCAACCACAGAUUUUAUUUCUCUUAGGUGGAUGCUUACAACCAGUAAGCUUAAACAAUUUUUCCAGAGACAAUCGUAAGAUAUGGAAAAACGAUUUGUUCAAUUCUUCGUAAUUUUUCGGAAAUAACCUUGAAGGAAAUCUUGGUUUAUUCUGAAAUAAUGUCUGGAUUCAGUUUGGUAGGAUUCUAAGCGGGAACUUUCUAAGGAACUUUGGGAUGAGUGUCCGAAAAAAUCUCGAGAAAGCUAUAUAGAAAUAUUUGUAGUAUCAAAAUAUUAGUAAUGAUUAUGAUAAUAAAAUCAGUCUAUAUAGAAUCUAUGAAAUAUCAUUCGACCAAAUGUUAUAGAUCCGAAAAUCUCUAUACAAUGUUUAGCAGAAAGACGAAGGAAUUCGUGAGAAAAUCAUUGAAAGACAUUUUUCUCAUAUAACCUAAAGGAGUUAUCCCCAUAGAAUUUUCUGGAGGUAUUUUUAACCCUUAUGUGGCCGACAGGGUACCCGGGUACCCAGCGCCCAUUUAAAAAGCACGGUGUAGAAAAAAGCAGAAAGUUUGUCGGACACAUAACGGUUAAGGAAUUUCUGGAGAUAUUCCCGAAAUGUCCCAGAGGAAAAUUCUGAAGGAACCUCUAAACAAACAUAUGAAUGAUUUUUUUUAAAUAAUCCCUGGAGGAAAUAUCGAAGAAAUGUGAGGAAAAAUUCCGCAAGGAUCUGUGGACGAAUUUUCGAUCAAUUCCAGAAAGAAUCUCUUAAGGAUUUUUUAAGGAAUUUAUGAAAGAAUGCCGAAAUUCUCAGGAGAAAACCCAAUGAAAAACUCUGAAAAAUCAUUUGAAGGAAUUUGUAGGAACAUCCAGAAAGAUCUAUGCCUUAAAUUUCAAAGCAAUUUCCAGAGCAAUUCCAGAAAAAUGGGGGGAAAUUUACGGAAUUUAAAUAAUUCCCUUGAAUUUCAUAAAAAAGUCUUAUAAGGAAUUCCUGUGAAAAUCUCAGACAUUUUCGGAGGAAUUUCUGGAUCAAUUCCCAAAACAGCGUAGGUAUUAAGCAUGACCAUGCUGAGGGUGACGGGUUAAAUUCCUGGACGGUUCAUAAAUUUUUCGUAAGAAAAAUCCUUGACUUUCCUGGGCAUAGGGAAUCUUCGUGCCUGCCACACGAUAUACUCAUGCAAAAUGGUAAGUGGGUGAGGAAGCUCUCAUAUAAUAACUUUGGAAAUGCGGAUAAUACAAGCAGAGAAGCAGGCUUUGUCGCAGUGAGGACAUAUCGCCAAGAAGAACAAGAAGAAAGUCUGAAAAGAAAAACCAGAAAUGGAAUAUUUGAAGGAAUUCCUAAAACAGUCACUGGAGGAAAAAAUGAAAGAUUUUCGUGCUUCCAGAAAUUCUUCCGGAAAUUUGUGCAAAAUUCUCUUGUAAAACUCUCUAGAGUAAAUUCCUAAUGAAUCUGGAAAUCCUAAAAGAACCUCAGAACAAAAAAAAUUUAAGGAUUUUUUGAAAGAAUUGUUAAAAUACUCUUUGGAGGAAAGAACGAAGUAAUUUGUGGGAAAAGAGAGACGGAAUCUAAGAAUAUACUUUAUGAAUCUCUUGAAAAAUUUACGUAAUAACUGCUGGAGAAAUUCGCAAAAGAAUAUUUCGAAAUCUGAACAAAUAAAUCUCUAAAAUAAGUAUUUCGGAAAACUUUGAAUACAUUUUCGAAAACAUUUCAGGGGAAAUAAACAUUUUUUGCCAAUUCUUGAAAAAAAAACCUGUGAAUCAAAUGAGUCUCUGGAGUAAUUUCCAAAACAUCAAUGGUGGAAUUUUUUUUAGCAAUCUAUUUAGAAAUUUUCAUAUGAAUGAAUAGGGUAUUGGUUCCCUUAUUAAGCAUGUGGCUCCCAUUUUCAUCCUACGAAAAACAAAGGAUUGAAGCGAUGUUUGUUUAGUUUUAUAUUUUUGUAUUUUUUGUUAGAGGUGAGCACGCAUGAAAACAAAAAGAACGGAAUCAAUCGGUGUCGUAAUCGCUUGUUCUCGAAUAAGAUGAAUAUGGGAGCGUGAGAUUACUGAUGGAACACAUACCCUAUUUGGAAGAAAUAAUGUCUAGACUAGAGUAAUUCCCUUAGAAAUCUCUGCAUAACGUAUGCAAAGAAUUCUGAGAGAAUAACUCCAGACAUUUUGGAGGAAUUUCUGGAGAGUUGAACACAGAAUAUUCUUAGGAAAUUCUUGAUGGAAUCUGUGGAAAAAUGUUCUAAGGUAUCUCUAAAAAUAUUCCCAAAGCAAUCUCAUGAUGUUUGAAUAAAACAGUUUUGUUGGAGUAGUUAUGAAGUAAAUCUCUGGAGGAAUUUUCAAACAAUAUGUAAGAAAUCCCGAAAAAACCUGAAUUUUCAAUGGUGUAUUUGAAAGAAUUUGUUGAAUACCCUCUGAAGGAAUAAAUGAAGAACUAAUCAAAAUUAAUUUCCGAAGAAAUAUAUGAGGCAGUGAAUCAAUGAAUCGCUGAAGUGAUUUUCUUGAAGGAAGCUGAGCAGCAAUUCUUAAAUAAAUCUUUGGAAAGUUUCUCGAAAAUUUGUGGCAGAAUUUCCUCACGAAUCUAAUGACAAAUUCUCAUGAAAAUCGCUGGAGCUAUUCUCUCAGAAACCUCUGGAUACAAUCCCGUAGCAAUUUCUGAAAGAUGGAACACAGAAUGAUUUCUUGGAGAAAUUUGUGAACCAAUUCUCAAAUAAAAAUAUGGAGGAAAUACAGAAGAAAAAAUAAGAAGACGUAAACGAAGAAUUCACUGGAGAAAGUUUUGAGGAAAUCUUUGGAUAAUGUUCCGAAAUAUCUGAAAAGGAAAUCCCAGAAGAAACACUGAAUAAAAUUUCGAUGGAAUAUUUCAAAGAAUUCUCGAAGGAUUUUUUGGGAAAUUUAAAAAAAAACAGUUUCGUGUUUAAAAGGAAUCGUUUAACAAAUAACCUGACUGAUUCCUGGCAGAAACUCUCUAAAGUUACUGCUACUUUAAUUGCAAAAAAAAAGAAGCAAUACCUGUAGAAGUAUCUUCACAAAUGUUAGGAGGCAGUCCUCAAAAAUCCCAAACGAAUACAUUUUCGAUGGAAUAUUGAAAGGAAUUCCCAUAAUAAUCUCUUGAGCAAUAAACUAUGAAACUUGUGAAAAAAUCCCCAAGAAACUUGGCAAUCUUGGAAUAUGAGGAGCAAAUAACGAGGUAAUUUGUCCAAAAUUUUCGAAUGAAUCUGUGAACGAACUUUUAAACAAAUUUUGGAUCCAGUCUAGUAGGAUUCUUUGGAGUAAUUUCCUAAGAUAUCUCUGUAGAAAAUUAUUGGAAAAAUCAAAGGAAUCACAGGAGGAGUGAGCAACGAAAUUUGUGGAGUGGAACUUGUGAAGCAAGUAACGAAUCAUUCGGUGGGAAAACUCUUGUAGAAUAAAGUUUCCAAAUAAUCUUAUGUAAUUUGCUGAAUUUGAAUGGAGCAACAUUCGAUACACUCUCUGCAGCAAAUUUUAAAAAUAUCUCUCGUGCAAUUUUUAAGUCGAAAAUUUCAAAAAAUAUCUCAGCCGUAAACCCUGGAAGAACAUUUGAAUGGAAUUUUGAACGAAUAUUAGAAAGAAUUCCAAAAACCCUACUCUCUGGAGGAAAAAAUGGAGUAAUUUGUGGGGAAAUUCAAGAUGGAAUCUAAUUUUUAAAAUAAUUUCCCGAAUCCCAUCUGGGAAGCUGAACGAAUGAUUCUUUGAAGAAAUUUUCUAAGAAAUCUGUAAAUAUAUUUUCGAAGACAUUUUUGAAAUUAAAAAAGAAAUUUUUUUAAUGUCUAGCGGAAUUCCUAAGGAAUCUUCGAAAUAAUUUCUGAAAGAGUCUCUGGAAGAAUCUCUCGAUUCGUGAGCGAAGAUAUUUGUGGGGAAAAUCUUGAAGAAAUUGUGGAUAAAUUUCCAAAUGAAUCUCUAAAACAAUUUUCUGGUAUCUAUGCAGUAUUUUUUUUUUUCAAUCUAGAUACAUACCCGAAGGAGUAUUAGGGGGAUUGAACAAAACAAUUUCGUUGAUAUAAUUUGUAACGAAUUUUGGAAUAUUUUCAAAAUGCUCUCUGGAAAUAUUCCUAAAAAAUUCUGGAGAAAAUCACGAAAAACUCUGACUAAAUUUUCGAUGAAGUAUUGCAAGCAAUUCCUUAAACAAUCUCUGGAGAAAUAAACAAAGGAAUUUUGGUAAAUAUUCGCGAAGGAAUUUGUGGAUGAAGUAUUGAUAUAAUCACUGGAAAAAAAUCAUAGGAAUUACUUGAAGAGUUCCUGAAAGAUUGUCUUUAGAAUGAAUGUCUCUGGAGCAAUUAUCUUAGAAAUCUGUGGAUACAUAUCUGAAGCAAUUUCUGGAGAAACAAAAGAAAUGCUUAAAGGAAUUCUUGAAGUAGUUCUCGAAAUAUUUUCUGGUGGAAUUUCCAUUUGAAAAUCGUAUAAGGCAUCGUUGUGUGAAGAAUUAGUCUAAGUUAAAAUUCACAAAUAAAAAGAAAUAAAAAAAGUAUAAGGCAUUGACGUAUACAUCUUUGAAGAAACGUCUAAAAAAAUUCUGAAAUUCUUUGGAGAUUUCUUCCAAAGCUCUCAGAAUUUUUUUCGUUGGAAUAUUGGAAUGAGUUCCCAAAAAAAAAAAAAAUCUCUGGAGAAAUAAUGAUGGAAUUUGUGGGAACAAUCCCGAAGACAUUUGUCGCUCAAUUUUUGUAUGACUUUGUGGAGAAAUUUCUUGAAAAAUAUCUGGAGGAAAGAUCGAGAUAAUCUGUGAAUGAAAUUUAAAAUAAUUUUUGGAUUCUGAAAAAAAAAAUCUCACAGGAAUCUCUAAAGUCAUGAACAAAGGGAUUUGUGGGGAAAAACUAGGAGGAAGAUGUGAAGCAAUUUUCAAAGCAAUUUCUACAGGAAUUCUCAGCAGAGGAAAAAUGAAGAAAUUGGUGGAAAAACUCUUGCAUGACGGUGUUUUGAAAUAAUCUAGGAAGUAAUUCGUUCAGCAUUUUCUGGAGUUUUUCCUAUAGAAUCUCUUGAUCUAAUUCUGAAAAUAUCUCUAUUUCCCAAAAUAUCUCAGGAGGAAAUCUUGAAAGAAAAUCUAACUAAAAUUUUUAAACUCCCUGGAGCGGAUCUGGUGUGAUGGUUAAAGCCCGUGACUAUCACACCGA
This is a long non-coding RNA of Aedes albopictus (Asian tiger mosquito), 15317 nucleotides long. RefSeq lists it as uncharacterized. The record is from RefSeq and is a predicted model, not a curated record. The transcript is spliced from 3 exons. Lineage: Eukaryota; Metazoa; Arthropoda; Insecta; Diptera; Culicidae.